GUUACUGCUAUCGGAGUUCGAUUAAGCCAUGCGAGUCUAAAGGUUUCUUCGGAAACCUUGGCGGACUGCUCAGUAACACGUGGACAACCUACCCUUGGGACUGGGAUAACCCCGGGAAACUGGGGAUAAUACCGGAUAGAUCAGGGAUGCUGGAAUGCGCCUUGAUCCAAAGCUCCGGCGCCCAAGGAUGGGUCUGCGGCCUAUCAGGUUGUAGUGGGUGUAACGUACCUACUAGCCGACGACGGGUACGGGUUGUGAGAGCAAGAGCCCGGAGAUGGAUUCUGAGACACGAAUCCAGGCCCUACGGGGUGCAGCAGGCGCGAAACCUUUACAAUGUGCGAAAGCAUGAUAAGGGAACUCCGAGUGCCAGCAUCUAAUGCUGGCUGUCCUUGUGCCUAAAACGCACAAGAUAGCAAGGGCCGGGUAAGACCGGUGCCAGCCGCCGCGGUAACACCGGCGGCCCGAGUGGUAGCCGCUAUUAUUGGGUCUAAAGGGUCCGUAGCCGGUUCGAUAAGUCCUCUGGGAAAUCUGGUUGCUUAACAAUCAGACUGCCAAGGGAUACUGUCGAACUUGAGACCGGGAGAGGUAAGAGGUACUUCAGGGGUAGGAGUGAAAUCUUGUAAUCCCUGGGGGACCAUCUGUGGCGAAGGCGUCUUACCAGAACGGGUCUGACGGUGAGGGACGAAAGCUGGGGGCGCAAACCGGAUUAGAUACCCGGGUAGUCCCAGCCGUAAACGAUGCUCGCUAUGUGUCAGGUACGGUGUGACCGUAUCUGGUGCCGUAGGGAAGCCGUGAAGCGAGCCACCUGGGAAGUACGGUCGCAAGACUGAAACUUAAAGGAAUUGGCGGGGGAGCACUACAACGGGUGGAGCCUGCGGUUUAAUUGGAUCAACGCCGGA
Molecule: ribosomal RNA, 899 nt
Filed under: uncultured archaeon
Lineage: Archaea
Description: bacterial SSU rRNA
Rfam family: Archaeal small subunit ribosomal RNA
Source: RNAcentral